UUGAGACGCGGCAUACGGCUCAGUAACACGUGGUUAACCUACCCUCAGGACAGGGACAAACCCGGGAAACUGGGGCUAAUACCAGAUAGGCGAGGACGCCUGGAAUGGUUCUUCACCCAAAGGACCUUGGAAACAUGCUUCCAAGUCGCCUGGGGAUGGGACCGCGUCCGAUCAGGUUGUUGGUGAGGUAACGGCUCACCAAGCCUAUAACCGGUACGGGCCGUGAGAGCGGUAGCCCGGAGAUGGGCACUGAGACAAGGGCCCAGGCCCUACGGGGCGCAGCAGUCGCGAAAACUCCGCAAUGCACGAAAGUGUGACGGGGCUACCCCGAGUGCCGUCCGCUGAGGACGGCUUUUCCCCGGUGUAACUAGCCGGGGGAAUAAGGAGAGGGCAAGACUGGUGUCAGCCGCCGCGGUAAUACCAGCUCUCCGAGUUGUAGGGAUGAUUAUUGGGCUUAAAGCGUCCGUAGCCGGCUUAGCAAGUCUCCUGUUAAAUUCAGCGACCCAAUCGUUGAGCCGCGGGAGAUACUACUAGGCUAGGAGGCGGGAGAGGUCGACGGUACUUUCGGGGUAGGGGUGACAUCCUAUAAUCCCG
This 594-nucleotide ribosomal RNA is filed under the name uncultured archaeon. Its description in RNAcentral is "bacterial SSU rRNA". It matches the Rfam family "Archaeal small subunit ribosomal RNA", at positions 71 to 650 of the family's 1478-position model. The record is from RNAcentral.